AAGACUAUAGACCUGCGGAGUACCUGCGGAAGGAUCAUUAUAGAGUUUUCUAAACUCCCAACCCAUGUGAACUUACCUUUGUUGCCUCGGCAGAAGCUACCCUGUAGCGGCUGCCGAUGGACCAUCAAACUCUUGUUAUUUUAUUGUUAUCUGAGCGUCUUAUUUUAAUAAGUCAAAACUUUCAGCAAUGGAUCUCU
RNAcentral lists this unclassified non-coding RNA (197 nucleotides) under soil metagenome. RNAcentral's name for it is "partial contains 5.8S ribosomal RNA, internal transcribed spacer 2, and large subunit ribosomal RNA". The record is from RNAcentral.